UCUCCGUAGGUGAACCUGCGGAGGGAUCAUUACAGAGUUCAUGCCCUAACGGGUAGAUCUCCCACCCUAUGUUAUCAUCACUUUGUUGCUUUGGCGGGCCGUCAGGCCUCGGCUUGGCUACCGGCUCUCGCUGGUAAGCGCCCGCCAGAGAACCCCAAACCCUGAAUAUCAGUGUCGUCUGAGCACUAUAUAAUAGUUAAAACUUUCAACAACGGAUCUCUUGGUUCUG
RNAcentral lists this unclassified non-coding RNA (229 nucleotides) under plant metagenome. Its description in RNAcentral is "partial contains small subunit ribosomal RNA, internal transcribed spacer 1, and 5.8S ribosomal RNA". The record is from RNAcentral.